Molecule: ribosomal RNA, 468 nt
Filed under: uncultured bacterium
Lineage: Bacteria
Description: partial 16S ribosomal RNA
Rfam family: Bacterial small subunit ribosomal RNA
Source: RNAcentral
GACGAACGCUGGCGGCGUGCUUAACACAUGCAAGUCGAACGGAAAGGCCCUGAUUUUGUGGGGUGCUCGAGUGGCGAACGGGUGAGUAACACGUGAGUAACCUGCCCUUGACUUUGGGAUAACUUCAGGAAACUGGGGCUAAUACCGGAUAGGAGCUCCUGCUGCAUGGUGGGGGUUGGAAAGUUUCGGCGGUUGGGGAUGGACUCGCGGCUUAUCAGCUUGUUGGUGGGGUAGUGGCUUACCAAGGCUUUGACGGGUAGUCGGCCUGAGAGGGUGACCGGCCACAUUAAUACUGAGAUACGUCCCAGACUCCUACUGGACACAGCAGUGAGGAAUAUUGCACAAUGGCCGGAAGCCUGAUGCAGCAACUCCACGUGCGGGAUGACGGCCUUCGGGUUGUAAACCGCUUUCGCCUGUGACGAAGCGUAAGUAACGGUAAUUGGUAAAGAAGCACCGGCUAACUACGUG